CCAGACUCCUACGGGAGGCAGCAGUGGGGGAUAUUGCACAAUGGGGGAAACCCUGAUGCAGCGACGCCGCGUGAGUGAAGAAGUAUUUCGGUAUGUAAAGCCCUGUCAGCAGGGAAGAAAAUGACGGUACCUGAAGAAGAAGCCCCGGCUAACUACGUGCCAGCAGCCGCGGUAAUACGUAGGGGGCAAGCGUUAUCCGGAUUUACUGGGUGUAAAGGGGGCGCAGACGGCGAUGCAAGCCAGGAGUGAAAGCCCGGGGCUCAACCCUGGGACUGCUCUGGAAACUGUAAAGCUGGAGUGCGGGAGGGGCAGGCGGAAUUCCUGGUGUAGCGGUGAAAUGCGUAGAUAUCAGGAGGAACACCGGCGGCGAAGGCGGCCUGCUGGACCGUAACUGACGUUGAGGCGCGAAAGCGUGGGGAGCAAACAGGAUUAGAUACCCGCGUAAU
This 446-nucleotide ribosomal RNA is filed under the name uncultured bacterium. RNAcentral describes it as "bacterial SSU rRNA". It matches the Rfam family "Bacterial small subunit ribosomal RNA", at positions 331 to 794 of the family's 1533-position model. The record is from RNAcentral.